Molecule: long non-coding RNA, 1061 nt
Filed under: Brassica rapa (field mustard)
Lineage: Eukaryota; Viridiplantae; Streptophyta; Magnoliopsida; Brassicales; Brassicaceae
Description: long non-coding RNA (BRAP_LNC003224)
Source: RNAcentral
GAAGAUGAUCCAUCUGUCUGGCGAUUCUGAUACUUUUAGUGAGGUAAGAGCUGUGUUUACACGAUUUGACUUUUAACACUUUUUUAGUUUAACCAUCAAUCAUAAUGUAAAAUAUUAUUAACUCACUCUUUGGGAGUUUAGAUUGAAUCCAUUAUUUACAGCCAAUUAAUUUUAUAUGGGAAAUGAUUCAUAUUUAUCAUAUCUUUCUUUGGUUGGCAUGUUGGUUUGUGAUAAUUUGCUUUUUCUUUUUAGUCUCUCGUCUGUUCCGUAAAGGUUUCUACAAACGAGCGUGUGUUCUUAUUGCGGUGAUUCUACAAGCAAAUCAUUCUUUAAUCUAUGGUCCAAAGAUUAUUAUUGACUAUAAUAUAAUUCUCAGGUGAACUUGUAUAUAAGGUAACUCAUGACACGGUCAAGUCUCAGACAUUAACGAACAGAGGAAUCAAAUAAUAGCCAUGCCACGAUGCUAAAUUUUAAAGGGUGAACUAUAUAACACCUUUCAAGAAGUAUCAGAUUUAAAACAAACCAAAAUGUCUACAAGAGGCGAUAUGUAGCUACUUUAAAUUUGGAGGAAGCCAUGAGAAGACAUCAGAUCAAGACUGCCUCCAAUCGUGAUGAGAAGCUUACAUAAUAUAGGCACCAUGCAAAGGGUUGCUCUGCUGUUUGCUUAUUAAAACCAAGCAAGCACCCGUGUCUGACUUAAUGCCAAUCCAAACAAUUAAAUAUUCCCAACCAAACAAAAAACUCAACAAGAUUGUAAUAUAAUUAUACCCAACCAACCAAAACUCAACAAGAUUGUAUUAUAAUUGUAUCCAAGAGUAUUGAAUCAUGAAAACAUUGUGAUAUUAGUUUUCAUGGGUCUUCCUCUGGCAAUAUUUGAUCUAGGCUCCAAGCGGCAGUCAGGUCGCCAUUAAAGUGACGCCUGCUGUUGACUCGUUUAAAAAUGGAGCCCUCUUUCUUUCACACCACACGGAUAAAACAUUAGACAAACUAACUGAUCUGAGAAAGCAAAACCAAACAAGAAAACAUGACUGAAGUGGGAGAUAAAAGAGAGAGAAUGGUCU